CCUACGGGUGGCAGCAGUGAGGAAUAUUGGUCAAUGGGCGAGAGCCUGAACCAGCCAAGUCGCGUGAAGGAUGACGGCCCUACGGGUUGUAAACUUCUUUUAUAAGGGAAUAAAGUGAGGCACGUGUGCCUUUUUGUAUGUACUUUAUGAAUAAGCAUCGGCUAACUCCGUGCCAGCAGCCGCGGUAAUACGGAGGAUUCGAGCGUUAUCCGGAUUUAUUGGGUUUAAAGGGUGCGUAGAUGGGUGGUUAAGUCAGUGGUGAAAUUUUGGGGCUCAACCGCGGAAUUGCGAUUGAUACUGGCAGCCUUGAGUACAGUUGAGGUAGGCGGAAUGCGUGGUGUAGCGGUGAAAUGCUUAGAUAUCACGCAGAACUCCGAUUGCGAAGGCAGCUUACCAAACUGCUACUGACAUUGAUGCACGAAAGUGUGGGUAUCAAACAGGAUUAGAUACCCCUGUAGUC
Molecule: ribosomal RNA, 460 nt
Filed under: uncultured bacterium
Lineage: Bacteria
Description: partial 16S ribosomal RNA
Rfam family: Bacterial small subunit ribosomal RNA
Source: RNAcentral